ACGACUCUCGGCAACGGAUAUCUCGGCUCUCGCAUCGAUGAAGAACGUAGCAAAAUGCGAUACUUGGUGUGAAUUGCAGAAUCCCGUGAAUCAUCGAGUUUUUGAACGCAAGUUGCGCCCGAAGCCAUUAGGCCGAAGGCACGUCUGCCUGGGCGUCUCGC
This 161-nucleotide ribosomal RNA is filed under the name Deutzia mexicana. RNAcentral describes it as "5.8S ribosomal RNA". It matches the Rfam family "5.8S ribosomal RNA". From Rfam's summary of the family: 5.8S ribosomal RNA (5.8S rRNA) is a component of the large subunit of the eukaryotic ribosome. The record is from RNAcentral. RNAcentral also lists the same sequence under 2 other names. Lineage: Eukaryota; Viridiplantae; Streptophyta; Magnoliopsida; Cornales; Hydrangeaceae.